UUCAUUUGGUCAGAAUGGGUCCGGAUCGCAUAGAACAUCACUCACAGCAUGACUCACAGCAUUCGUGGAUUCGAACACUGAACGGAUCACUGGUUUGAUGGAAACGUGUACGUGGCUGCAAGAGAAAAUAGCAAAACCAAAUAAAAUGUGGUUGUCGUGUGAAUAACUUUGGUGUCGUGACUCCCCAUGCUCUCCACUCCAUGCUGUUUCUCAGAAUUCAGGACUGAGCCAGCCAUCUUAACCAAAAGAUGUG
Long non-coding RNA from Daphnia pulicaria, 253 nucleotides. RefSeq lists it as uncharacterized. Lineage: Eukaryota; Metazoa; Arthropoda; Branchiopoda; Diplostraca; Daphniidae. The transcript is spliced from 3 exons. The record is from RefSeq and is a predicted model, not a curated record.